RNAcentral lists this ribosomal RNA (573 nucleotides) under Microsporidium sp. RNAcentral's name for it is "SSU rRNA". It matches the Rfam family "Microsporidia small subunit ribosomal RNA", at positions 253 to 838 of the family's 1311-position model. The record is from RNAcentral. Lineage: Eukaryota; Fungi; Microsporidia.
GCCUGAGAGAUGGCUMCYACGUCCAAGGAUGGCAGCAGGCGCGAAACUUGCCCAAUCUACGAGGAGGCAGUUAUGGGACGUUAUGAGUUGUGGCGCAGGACAAAGAGAUGUGCUUGUAUCGGAGGGCAAGGCGGGUGCCAGCAGCCGCGGUAAUACCUGCUCCGAUAGUGUCUAUGGUGAAUGCUGCAGUUAAAAGGUCUGUAGUCGUGUUGUAUGUGUUUGUUGUGUGUGUUUGUGGCAUGCAUGGGACGUACGGGAGAUGCAGGCGACGGGGGCCACUGGAUAGUUGGGCGAGAGGUGAAAUGCGAGGACCCUGACUGGACGAACGGAGGCGAAGGCGGUGGUCUUGGAGCGGUGUGCAGAUCAAGGACGAAGGCUGGAGGAUCGAAAUCGAUUAGAUACCGUUUUAGUUCCAGCAGUAAACGAUGCCGACUGUGCGGUGCGCCAGCACUGUGGUGGAGAAAUCUGGAAGUAUGUGGGCUCUGGGGAUAGUAUGCUCGCAAGGGUGAAACUUAAAGAGAUUGACGGAAGGACACCACAAGGAGUGGAGUGUGCKGCUUAAUUURACUCAAC